AGCGUACACGGUGGAUGCCCUGGCAGUCAGAGGCGAUGAAGGACGUGCUAAUCUGCGAUAAGCGUCGGUAAGGUGAUAUGAACCGUUAUAACCGGCGAUUUCCGAAUGGGGAAACCCAGUGUGUUUCGACACACUAUCAUUAACUGAAUCCAUAGGUUAAUGAGGCGAACCGGGGGAACUGAAACAUCUAAGUACCCCGAGGAAAAGAAAUCAACCGAGAUUCCCCCAGUAGCGGCGAGCGAACGGGGAGCAGCCCAGAGCCUGAAUCAGUGUGUGUGUUAGUGGAAGCGUCUGGAAAGGCGCGCGAUACAGGGUGACAGCCCCGUACACAAAAAUGCACAUGCUGUGAGCUCGAUGAGUAGGGCGGGACACGUGGUAUCCUGUCUGAAUAUGGGGGGACCAUCCUCCAAGGCUAAAUACUCCUGACUGACCGAUAGUGAACCAGUACCGUGAGGGAAAGGCGAAAAGAACCCCGGCGAGGGGAGUGAAAAAGAACCUGAAACCGUGUACGUACAAGCAGUGGGAGCACGCUUAGGCGUGUGACUGCGUACCUUUUGUAUAAUGGGUCAGCGACUUAUAUUCUGUAGCAAGGUUAACCGAAUAGGGGAGCCGAAGGGAAACCGAGUCUUAACUGGGCGUUAAGUUGCAGGGUAUAGACCCGAAACCCGGUGAUCUAGCCAUGGGCAGGUUGAAGGUUGGGUAACACUAACUGGAGGACCGAACCGACUAAUGUUGAAAAAUUAGCGGAUGACUUGUGGCUGGGGGUGAAAGGCCAAUCAAACCGGGAGAUAGCUGGUUCUCCCCGAAAGCUAUUUAGGUAGCGCCUCGUGAAUUCAUCUCCGGGGGUAGAGCACUGUUUCGGCAAGGGGGUCAUCCCGACUUACCAACCCGAUGCAAACUGCGAAUACCGGAGAAUGUUAUCACGGGAGACACACGGCGGGUGCUAACGUCCGUCGUGAAGAGGGAAACAACCCAGACCGCCAGCUAAGGUCCCAAAGUCAUGGUUAAGUGGGAAACGAUGUGGGAAGGCCCAGACAGCCAGGAUGUUGGCUUAGAAGCAGCCAUCAUUUAAAGAAAGCGUAAUAGCUCACUGGUCGAGUCGGCCUGCGCGGAAGAUGUAACGGGGCUAAACCAUGCACCGAAGCUGCGGCAGCGACGCUGAUGCGUUGUUGGGUAGGGGAGCGUUCUGUAAGCCUGCGAAGGUGUGCUGUGAGGCAUGCUGGAGGUAUCAGAAGUGCGAAUGCUGACAUAAGUAACGAUAAAGCGGGUGAAAAGCCCGCUCGCCGGAAGACCAAGGGUUCCUGUCCAACGUUAAUCGGGGCAGGGUGAGUCGACCCCUAAGGCGAGGCCGAAAGGCGUAGUCGAUGGGAAACAGGUUAAUAUUCCUGUACUUGGUGUUACUGCGAAGGGGGGACGGAGAAGGCUAUGUUGGCCGGGCGACGGUUGUCCCGGUUUAAGCGUGUAGGCUGGUUUUCCAGGCAAAUCCGGAAAAUCAAGGCUGAGGCGUGAUGACGAGGCACUACGGUGCUGAAGCAACAAAUGCCCUGCUUCCAGGAAAAGCCUCUAAGCAUCAGGUAACAUCAAAUCGUACCCCAAACCGACACAGGUGGUCAGGUAGAGAAUACCAAGGCGCUUGAGAGAACUCGGGUGAAGGAACUAGGCAAAAUGGUGCCGUAACUUCGGGAGAAGGCACGCUGAUAUGUAGGUGAGGUCCCUCGCGGAUGGAGCUGAAAUCAGUCGAAGAUACCAGCUGGCUGCAACUGUUUAUUAAAAACACAGCACUGUGCAAACACGAAAGUGGACGUAUACGGUGUGACGCCUGCCCGGUGCCGGAAGGUUAAUUGAUGGGGUUAGCGCAAGCGAAGCUCUUGAUCGAAGCCCCGGUAAACGGCGGCCGUAACUAUAACGGUCCUAAGGUAGCGAAAUUCCUUGUCGGGUAAGUUCCGACCUGCACGAAUGGCGUAAUGAUGGCCAGGCUGUCUCCACCCGAGACUCAGUGAAAUUGAACUCGCUGUGAAGAUGCAGUGUACCCGCGGCAAGACGGAAAGACCCCGUGAACCUUUACUAUAGCUUGACACUGAACAUUGAGCCUUGAUGUGUAGGAUAGGUGGGAGGCUUAGAAGUGUGGACGCCAGUCUGCAUGGAGCCGACCUUGAAAUACCACCCUUUAAUGUUUGAUGUUCUAACGUUGACCCGUAAUCCGGGUUGCGGACAGUGUCUGGUGGGUAGUUUGACUGGGGCGGUCUCCUCCUAAAGAGUAACGGAGGAGCACGAAGGUUGGCUAAUCCUGGUCGGACAUCAGGAGGUUAGUGCAAUGGCAUAAGCCAGCUUGACUGCGAGCGUGACGGCGCGAGCAGGUGCGAAAGCAGGUCAUAGUGAUCCGGUGGUUCUGAAUGGAAGGGCCAUCGCUCAACGGAUAAAAGGUACUCCGGGGAUAACAGGCUGAUACCGCCCAAGAGUUCAUAUCGACGGCGGUGUUUGGCACCUCGAUGUCGGCUCAUCACAUCCUGGGGCUGAAGUAGGUCCCAAGGGUAUGGCUGUUCGCCAUUUAAAGUGGUACGCGAGCUGGGUUUAGAACGUCGUGAGACAGUUCGGUCCCUAUCUGCCGUGGGCGCUGGAGAACUGAGGGGGGCUGCUCCUAGUACGAGAGGACCGGAGUGGACGCAUCACUGGUGUUCGGGUUGUCAUGCCAAUGGCACUGCCCGGUAGCUAAAUGCGGAAGAGAUAAGUGCUGAAAGCAUCUAAGCACGAAACUUGCCCCGAGAUGAGUUCUCCCUGACUCCUUGA
RNAcentral lists this ribosomal RNA (2787 nucleotides) under Escherichia coli. RNAcentral's name for it is "bacterial LSU rRNA". It matches the Rfam family "Bacterial large subunit ribosomal RNA". Lineage: Bacteria; Pseudomonadati; Pseudomonadota; Gammaproteobacteria; Enterobacterales; Enterobacteriaceae. The record is from RNAcentral.